CUAUUAUGGAGAGUUUGAUCCUGGCUCAGGACGAACGCUGGCGGCAUGCCUAAUACAUGCAAGUCGAGCGAAUGACGAAGAAGCUUGCUUCUUCUGAUUUAGCGGCGGACGGGUGAGUAACACGUGGGCAACCUGCCCUGUAGAUUGGGAUAACUCCGGGAAACCGGGGCUAAUACCGAAUAAUCCAUUUCCUCACAUGGGGAGAUGUUAAAAGACGGUUUCGGCUGUCACUACAGGAUGGGCCCGCGGCGCAUUAGCUAGUUGGUGAGGUAACGGC
Molecule: ribosomal RNA, 277 nt
Filed under: Paenisporosarcina quisquiliarum
Lineage: Bacteria; Bacillati; Bacillota; Bacilli; Caryophanales; Caryophanaceae
Description: partial 16S rRNA. Bacterial SSU
Rfam family: Bacterial small subunit ribosomal RNA
Source: RNAcentral